This 519-nucleotide ribosomal RNA is filed under the name uncultured bacterium. RNAcentral's name for it is "bacterial SSU rRNA". It matches the Rfam family "Bacterial small subunit ribosomal RNA", at positions 9 to 518 of the family's 1533-position model. The record is from RNAcentral.
AGAGUUGAUCCUGGCUAGAACGAACGCUGGCGGCGCGUUUAAGCAUGCAAGUCGAGCGGCAAGGGCCUCCGGGCCCCUAGAGCGGCGGACGGGUGAGUAACACGUGGACAAUCUCGCCCCCCGGCCCGGGAUAGCCCAGGGAAACCUGGAUUAAUACCGGAUGAGACGGGACCCGCGAUGGCGGGAUCCGGGAAAGGCGCUGCGGCGCCGCCGGGGGAUGAGUCUGCGUCCCAUUAGCUAGACGGCGGGGUAACGGCCCACCGUGGCGACGAUGGGUAGCCGGCCUGAGAGGGUGGACGGCCACAUUGGAACUGAGACACGGUCCAGACUCCUACGGGAGGCAGCAGCUAAGAAUCUUCCGCAAUGGGCGAAAGCCUGACGGAGCCGACGCCGCGUGAACGAAGAAGGCCGUGAGGUUGUAAAGUUCUUUUCGGGAGGGGGAACAACCGUGGCAGGGAAUGGCCGCGGGAUGACGUGAAUCCCGGAAUAAGCCCCGGCUAACUACGUGCCAGCCGCCGC